GCGCUCGUAGCUCAGUGGAUAGAGCAGUUGCCUUCUAAGCAAUUGGUCGCAGGUUCGAUCCCUGCCGAGCGCG
RNAcentral lists this transfer RNA (73 nucleotides) under Acaryochloridaceae cyanobacterium CSU_5_19. RNAcentral describes it as "tRNA-Arg". It matches the Rfam family "tRNA". From Rfam's summary of the family: Transfer RNA (tRNA) molecules are approximately 80 nucleotides in length. Their secondary structure includes four short double-helical elements and three loops (D, anti-codon, and T loops). RNAcentral also lists the same sequence under 1 other name. The record is from RNAcentral. Lineage: Bacteria; Bacillati; Cyanobacteriota; Cyanophyceae; Acaryochloridales; Acaryochloridaceae.